AAAAUGACAGCACAACCACCAUUUGUCCCAAACUGUGAUGAUUAAAUGUAGCAACUCACUUACUCAGAUGGCUAGUGCAGAGAGAAAAAGAGGGAGACAGUGAAAGGAAAUUGGAAUUGUUAGGAAUCCUAUCCAUUACUUAUAUCUUUUUUAUUCCUUGUUCUUAUCAUUGUAUUAGGUCUUCAUGUGGCUAUUUCUUUAAAGACAAAGAACAACGAAGAUUGAGCCCAGCAUCUUGCUAUUAAGGAAAAUCUCUCUUGCAUCUCCACCCAUCUACAAGCUUCAUAACAGCUGACAGCACAGGCUUCUUGCGGUGGACUGAAUUUGGCUCUGAAAAAAUUCUGAAAUCCUAAUAUCAAGAACCUGGGCUAGAGCACUGAAUUAUAUGGGAAUCUGGUGGCGACAAUCACACCUGUUGCUAUGGGUGAAAUGUGUCCUGCAACAUUCAUGUGUUGGAAAGUUAAUCUCCAAUGCAACAGUAUUUAGAGGUGAGAGCUUUAAAGAGGCGAUUUGGCUAUAAGGGCUCUGACGUCAUGAGUGGAUUAAUACCAUCAUCACUGGAGUGGGUUAGUUAUCUCAGGUAUGGGUUUAUUAUCAAAAUAACGCAUUUGUUAUGAAAACUAGUUAGCCGCUCUCUAGCUCUCGUUUGCUCUCUUGCCUUUCUGUCUUCGCUAGGAUGAACCAGCAAGAGGGCUCUCAUCAGUGGCUGACCAGAUGCCAGAAACAUGCCAUUGGCGUGCCCAGCCUUUAGAACAAUGAGCCAAACAAAUUUCUGUUCAUUAUAAAUUACGCAGUCUCAGUUAUGCUGUUACAGCAGCAAAAAGCAGGCUGAGACACCAGUCAUCUUUUAAUAUUUUAAGGUGAUACUAACCAAUUUUUUCAAAUAUAUAAUAUUGUUCCUUCUUUUUUUUCUGGGGAAAUGAAUACUUUAAGAAGUUUCCCACGGACCUUCCGCACUAUAAUACCUCUUACCACACAAACUAACACAUCCAUGUUGAGAUUCUGCCAACUACCAAGUCUCUAUUCAGGUUACAUUUAGAAAGCAGGAACAUGCCCACUGGGCAGUUCAUAGGUCCAUUAGCUCCAUAGUGAACCAGACAUGUUCUGGAACUUCAUUAAUAAUGCCACUCUAACAAGAGGAAAAUGGUGGUGCUUUGGGUCCACAGAUAUCAAUGCCGAUUCAGAUCCAUAUCCAAUAAUCCCCAAAAGGUGUGACUACGUCCUUUCCUUCAUGUGUGGUUAUUUACUACAUAAUUGUCAGUUAUUUUUAGAAAGAAUAGGAGGAAUUACUCUUUAAUGUACUUGUGGUGUUGCCUGAUCCUUUCUCACACCGUGGAUUCUGGAUCUGAGAACUAUACUCAGGUCUUAAGACUGGGAAAGGGAAAGCAAUAUUUUAUUAGUAGAGUUGCAUUCAGUCUCCUAAUUAUCCAUUCUUUAUUUAUUUUAAUAAUGUAAAUUAAGCAACAUAUUUGAUGACUUCCUAAGUUGUCUUUGAAAAUACUGUGUUAUAUUAAUCAUAUGUAUAAUCAUAUCUCUAGUCAUAUAUCAUGCAUAUAUAAAAAAUGAUAUAUAUAACAUCUCUGCAAUUCAUACCUCCUCUGCCUGCCACUUCAGCUUUGGUGCCCAGGGUGGUAAGUGUGUCCUUCUUACUUUGACAGUUAAGAGCCACUAUCUGACUUCGUUUUAUUUCAGGAUACUCUCAUACCUGUUUCUUUCAGGGAGGCCAGUCCUGUCACAGUAUUCCCUGGUCUACAGAGGAGAACCAUACUGAGUUCAGAAAUGACAGUGCCUUUUUCACCAGUGUAAUCCGUGUUGCUUUAGUGAAUGAGCUGUGCUUCUAAUCUUUCUUGGAAUAUAGUUUGCUGAUGGUUUUUCCGAUUUUACAUAGUAUGUCACUGUAGCAUGCACAUUUAAUGCCUUCAUCUUCUAUCUGUCAUGCAGUUCUGGCACUUCUGCUACACUUAUACGGGCCAUUAUUUUUUGAAACUUUCCUAGUGCCAUUCUGCUGUUUUAUCACUGUUUCCUGGUGUCCUUGCCAGUGUGUUAAAUUACAUAUCAUGUGAGAGUGCUCCAUAUUGAUAAAGUAUCUCAUAUCCAACUCUAAGUUCUAUGCCCCUUUUUAUGUCACCUUCAGGAUCCAGUUUCAUUCAUGUUCUCCUGGUUCCAAUGGUACCUAUUAGACAGGUCCUACAAUUCCUUUACUUAUAGUCUCUUUCUUCCCUUAGCUAGUUCAGUGCUUGUCUCAUUGAAAUGUGCUGGCAUUUAACCUUUAUUAUUGGAAUGUUUGCCUGGAAGGAAAUAAGGAUAGCUCCUCAGUGUGGGGGGGUCUUAGAUGGAAGCAUUGUCUUUUAAAGGACCUAAGUCAUUUGAAAUUUCUGUAUGAUCUCCAAGUAAUGCUUUCUUUAAAAGAAGACCACUAUCUAGUAUCAAAGGAAUUAGAAGAUACUUCCACCAAAAAAGAGCAUUUGGGGGAAAAUAGAACUUCAAGGUUUUUAGCUGUGUCUAAUCAACUGUAUUCAUUCUAAAUCUAAGGGGAAUAUUUCUUUCUUGUUAGCGUCUUGACAUUGGCUUAUGGAACCCGCUGAGGUGAAGAAUCCAGCUAUCUUUGAAGUUCCACUAGUUGUAUUAUUAACUUUUGAAUUUAGUCCUCUAGUGACUGCCCACCAGUGGCAGAUGAUUAGAGUCUCCUUAGAUUCUGCCAAGAGUCCCUCUGGCUUUCACAUUUUACCUUGGAAUGAUGAUUAAUUAAUCACCUGAGCUCGUCAUUAUCAACUCUUAAAUUAAAAUAAAAUGCUUCUCAGUAAAGUUUAUUUACUUUGUAGUCCUUAUACUUAUUAUUUUCUAUAUGGCAUCAAGUUCCAGAAGUAAUUACAUAGCCAGUAUGUCUUCUUCCACCAGUACUGCAUCUGAGUUCUGAGUUCACUACUUGUAACAGUUUUAUCAACUGUGAAAUGUGAAGUCUACUCAUCCUCCACUUACCACCAGCAAUAGGGCCCUCAUUGCUAGAUGGCCUGAAUAUUUUGAUCCAGUUUUGGAAUAUUAUUCUACAGUCUGCUUUCUAGGACCCCUUCUAGUAACAACAGAAUCAUAUGAAGUUCCCUAGACAUAGCCUCUAAGAUGGAGAGUUUUAUGCAGAGAGGAUUUAUUGGAGAAUGCUCUUGGUAGAUGUAUCUGUGAGGAACCAGAAAAAGCAGGAUUAAGCAGAAAGAGAAGUCAACCCAAAACACAGUUUCAAUAAAGCUUUAGAACUGGAAUGACUCUUCAGUGUUUUUCUGACAUGAAAUAUAGUGUCUAGGCCUUUAUAUCAUUGCAUGAUCCAGUGAUGGACUAUGGUGUCUCCCUAGUAGAAUACUGUCAGAAUAGAGUUCUUGUCGGGCGCCGUGGCUCACGCCUGUAAUCCCAGCACUUUGGGAGGCCAAGGCGGGCGGAUCACAAGGUC
Molecule: long non-coding RNA, 3439 nt
Organism: Chlorocebus sabaeus (green monkey)
Lineage: Eukaryota; Metazoa; Chordata; Mammalia; Primates; Cercopithecidae
Source: RefSeq, a predicted model, not a curated record